RNAcentral lists this small nuclear RNA (103 nucleotides) under Triticum aestivum (bread wheat). Lineage: Eukaryota; Viridiplantae; Streptophyta; Magnoliopsida; Poales; Poaceae. RNAcentral also lists the same sequence under 1 other name. The record is from RNAcentral.
AUCCCUUCUGGGACAUCCGAUAAAAUUGGAACGAUACAGAGAAGAUUAGCAUGGCCCCUGCACAAGGAUGACAAGCACAAAUCGAGAAAUGGUCCAAUUUUUU